This is a non-coding RNA of Notechis scutatus (mainland tiger snake), 714 nucleotides long. The record is from RefSeq and is a predicted model, not a curated record. Lineage: Eukaryota; Metazoa; Chordata; Lepidosauria; Squamata; Elapidae.
CAGACUAGAAGACUUUCAAAGCCCCUUCCAGCUCUAUUCUGAUUGAUUGAUUCCUUCCUGUCCCUUCCCUUUCCCCUCCCCUCUCAAGUUGCCAAGGCUGAGAAAUACGGCCGUAAAUCAUUGAACCCCUUUAGAGCUUUCUAACUCCGUAAGUUUGAAAUGGAGGCCCACAGGAACCAUGUGAUCUCCCCAAGCCAAGAUCCAAACCUGUGGUUCAAACAAACCAUGGAUUAACACAGGGUGGAAAGCAGCAUCAGAGACCUCCACCAUAUUUGAGGAGGGUGUGGCUUGUCUUCCCAGGCUUUAGAGGGCGCCUGGGAGGCAUAUCGUCUGUGAGAAGCAAAAUCCUGUAAAGGAACAUGGAUGAGAUAAAAUCCGUUUCCCAUUCAGGCAGCCAGAGAGAAAAUAAAUUGGAAGAUCUGUGUGACAGCUGGCUUUCAAAUAGAGACGCUUGACACCAACUUGUCAUUUUAUAAUAAAUGUAGUUGACAUCUAUGUUUACCGCAAACAAGAUAGUCAGGCAAACAGGAGCAUCAUGAGGUAACUCAUGAGGUAAAUCAUGAGGUAAAUCAUGAGGUCAACGACAGAGUGCACAGGGCAGACAGAAGAAAAACGGCGGGGCAAAAAGGGGAACUCCCCCUGCACCCCCAAAGCGACCAAUCACAGUGCAGAUUGUCUCAGCACUCACCAACCGAUCAACUAUAGGAACAUUGA